Molecule: unclassified non-coding RNA, 398 nt
Filed under: uncultured fungus
Lineage: Eukaryota; Fungi
Description: sequence contains ITS2
Rfam family: 5.8S ribosomal RNA (bases 1-154)
Source: RNAcentral
AACUUUCGACAACGGAUCUCUUGGCUCUUGCAACGAUGAAGAACGCAGUGAAAUGCGAAAAGUAAUGCGAUUUGCAUGAAUCUGUGAGUCAUCAAGUUUUUGAACGCACCUUGCACUCUUUGCUCAAGUAAAGAGUAUACCUGUUUGAGAAUCGAAUAUACCAUCGCCUCUAGAUAGAGACGGACUUGGCCCUCACACCCAGUGAGAGGGCUAGAAUGCAGCAGGCUUUGAACUAGGCGGGCUGUCUAGACAUUGUGUGAUAAGAGGGGAAACCUCGUAUUCGCAAUGAGUCUAGACAUGUCCCCUAACCUCAAGCCUCUCCUAAUAACCAUCUCAUACGCGAUCUCAAAUCAGGUAAGGCUACCCGCUGAACUUAAGCAUAUCAAUAAGCGGAGGCU